This 205-nucleotide ribosomal RNA is filed under the name Anaerobacillus alkaliphilus. RNAcentral describes it as "Bacterial large subunit ribosomal RNA". It matches the Rfam family "Bacterial large subunit ribosomal RNA", at positions 328 to 532 of the family's 2925-position model. Lineage: Bacteria; Bacillati; Bacillota; Bacilli; Caryophanales; Bacillaceae. The record is from Rfam by way of RNAcentral.
AGUAGAUGAAGCGACCUGGAAAGGUCCGCGAAACAAGGUAACAGCCCUGUAAUCGAAACUUCGUUUCCUCCAGAGUGGAUCCUGAGUACGGCGGGACACGUGAAACCCCGUCGGAAUCCGGGAGGACCAUCUCCCAAGGCUAAAUACUUCCUAGUGACCGAUAGUGAACCAGUACCGUGAGGGAAAGGUGAAAAGCACCCCGGGA